RNAcentral lists this ribosomal RNA (277 nucleotides) under uncultured Burkholderia sp. Its description in RNAcentral is "partial 16S ribosomal RNA". It matches the Rfam family "Bacterial small subunit ribosomal RNA", at positions 504 to 780 of the family's 1533-position model. Lineage: Bacteria; Pseudomonadati; Pseudomonadota; Betaproteobacteria; Burkholderiales; Burkholderiaceae. The record is from RNAcentral.
UGUGCCAGCAGCCGCGGUAAUACGUAGGGUGCGAGCGUUAAUCGGAAUUACUGGGCGUAAAGCGUGCGCAGGCGGUGAUGUAAGACCGAUGUGAAAUCCCCGGGCUUAACCUGGGAACUGCAUUGGUGACUGCAUUGCUGGAGUAUGGCAGAGGGGGGUGGAAUUCCACGUGUAGCAGUGAAAUGCGUAGAGAUGUGGAGGAACACCGAUGGCGAAGGCAGCCCCCUGGGCCAAUACUGACGCUCAUGCACGAAAGCAUGGGGAGCAAACAGGAUUA